GACGAACCGUGCAAACGUUGUUCGUAAUCACUGGGCUUAAAGGGCGCGUAGGCGGCUCGCCAAGUCGGGGGUGAAAUCUUUCGGCUCAACCGGAAAAGUGCCUUCGAUACUGGCGGGCUGGAGGGAGGUAGGGGCAUGUGGAACUUCCGGUGGAGCGGUGAAAUGCGUUGAUAUCGGAAGGAACGCCGGUGGCGAAAGCGACGUGCUGGACCUCUUCUGACGCUGAGGCGCGAAAGCUAGGGGAGCGAACGGG
This 253-nucleotide ribosomal RNA is filed under the name uncultured bacterium. Its description in RNAcentral is "partial 16S ribosomal RNA". It matches the Rfam family "Bacterial small subunit ribosomal RNA", at positions 524 to 776 of the family's 1533-position model. The record is from RNAcentral.